AGAGUUUGAUCAUGGCUCAGGAUGAACGCUAGCUACAGGCUUAACACAUGCAAGUCGAGGGGAAACGACAUCGAAAGCUUGCUUUUGAUGGAUGGCGACCGGCGCACGGGUGAGUAACACGUAUCCAACCUGCCGACAACACUGGGAUAGCCUUUCGAAAGAAAGAUUAAUACCGGAUGGCAUAGUUUUCCCGCAUGGGAUGAUUAUUAAAGAAUUUCGGUUGUCGAUGGGGAUGCGUUCCAUUAGGCAGUUGGCGGGGUAACGGCCCACCAAACCAACGAUGGAUAGGGGUUCUGAGAGGAAGGUCCCCCACAUUGGAACUGAGACACGGUCCAAACUCCUACGGGAGGCAGCA
RNAcentral lists this ribosomal RNA (355 nucleotides) under uncultured bacterium. Its description in RNAcentral is "bacterial SSU rRNA". It matches the Rfam family "Bacterial small subunit ribosomal RNA", at positions 8 to 353 of the family's 1533-position model. The record is from RNAcentral.